This is a long non-coding RNA of Patella vulgata (common limpet), 285 nucleotides long. RefSeq lists it as uncharacterized. NCBI's taxonomy places the organism in Eukaryota, Metazoa, Mollusca, Gastropoda, Patellidae. The record is from RefSeq and is a predicted model, not a curated record. The transcript is spliced from 3 exons.
UUCAGGUAUUUCGUGGUCAACCCAUUGUCAUACAGUUGCCUGUUUUAAUGUGUCUGAUGUAUUUAAUCAGCGUGUUCUUCUCCAGAUUUUUGACGACUGGUUUAAAGUUUCUUGUAAAAAUAUUCACUGGCCAGUUAAUGGACACGACCCAAACUAUAUCAAAUGAACAGUUAUUAAAAGCCACAGACACGCAGGAAGCGUCAGGUUUAACAAAAUUCCAGGUUAAUCAUGUGAAAGAAUUACUGAAGGGAAAGAACUCAUCUCUCCCGUCCUUGGAACAGUAAG